GUUGUUCUCCCCCUGUACUCGGCACUGAGUAGUCUGCACCUUGAGUGCUGUGUCCAGUUCUGGGCCCCUCAGUUUGGGAAGGACGUCGAGACACUUGAGGACAUCCAGAGGAGAGCAACAAAGCUGUCUGUGGAUUGCCCAUAAUCUCAGUUCAUGAGACUACAGUGCCUGGUUUUUUACUUGGAAAGGUGAGGAACAGUAGGAGGAGUGUGAGAGCACAGGUGACCAUGCUCUGCUGCAAGAGUGGCCUGCAGGCAUGUCAGAAAUUAAAGGAACAGCUGAACAAAGUCAAGAAGUAAUUGAAAACAGCCUGAAAAUGAGGAAAAUCAUCUUCAAUAGAGGCAGGCAUAAACUAGCAAGCUAUGGGAAAAUAUGUCCAGUGUCAAGCUGUCUGCAAUCAGCAUCUCAUCUUGAGAGAAGAUCCAGGGUUUUGGAGACAAAUAAUUAUCUGUGAUUCAUCUUUGUGAUUUUAUUAGGCCAAAAUUACCCCCAAGUAUGAAAACCCAGUUAAGAACUAGGGUGCUUGAGACUAGGAUCUAUAUUUUGCACUGUGAGUUCUACUUUGACAUUUAAAAUAUUUUUACACUUGCUUAUCUGAGUGAGAUAGUAAGUCCCUUGGAGAAGUAAAAUGAUACAGAUAAUUUGGUUUAAUUUUUCACAAAAGGAGUUGCUCAUGUGUUUUUGUUUUCUCUGUUUCCUUGGAUACUAGAGAUUUCAUAUCACAGUUCAGCCACACAUACAUUUUCUAUUCCAUUACCGCACCUGGAAUAUGUAUGAAAAAUUCCCAUAAAUAGUUAAGACAUGAACAAGACCUCAGGAGUAACCUCAAGCAGGAAGAUCCUGAUCAGGGUCAGACAGAAGUGGACAGGGAAAACAGACAGAUCGUCAUCUGCAUAGGCUUCUUAAUGCUGCUCUUGCUUUUCUAAGAAGUCAGGACUUGCACAGGAAUAUUCUCUUCUCAUUUUGAGGCUGAAGUUGUUUUUGCUUUUGGCAUUCAUCUGAGUAUGCUCAAAAGAUAAUUAAUUAGACCAUGUGCAUAGUUUGGACUGAAAUCCAGUCCAGUGCAUUUUAAAACCAAUUUUCAUAAGCAUUGCACAAUCAUAAGUGUGUGACACUGAUCAGAACCUCCACCUGCAAAGGUACACUUACACGUGCAGAUUGAUUUGCUAAUCUUACUAACCAUUUCACAUAGAAAUUAAAAUUCUUUCUAUUCACU
Onychostruthus taczanowskii (white-rumped snowfinch) is the source of this 1216-nucleotide long non-coding RNA. RefSeq lists it as uncharacterized. The record is from RefSeq and is a predicted model, not a curated record. NCBI's taxonomy places the organism in Eukaryota, Metazoa, Chordata, Aves, Passeriformes, Passeridae. The transcript has 4 exons.